GUUGUUGCGCGAAAUGGCGGCUGGCGUCUUGCAGGGGCCGCCGCAGCUGGGCAGGCUUGGGGAAGCUGUA
Molecule: long non-coding RNA, 70 nt
Organism: Nothoprocta perdicaria
Lineage: Eukaryota; Metazoa; Chordata; Aves; Tinamiformes; Tinamidae
Exons: 2
Source: RefSeq, a predicted model, not a curated record